CCUACGGGUGGCAGCAGUGAGGAAUAUUGGUCAAUGGGCGAGAGCCUGAACCAGCCAAGUCGCGUGAGGGAGUACUGCCCUAUGGGUUGUAAACCUCUUUUGUCGGGGAGCAAAAGCCGGACGUGUCCGGCUGUGAGAGUAUCCGCAGAAAAAGCAUCGGCUCACUCCGCGCCACCAGCCGCGGUAAUACGGGGGAUGCGAGCGUUAUCCGGGUUUAUUGGGUUUAAAGGGUGUGUAGGCGGUCGGGUAAGUUAGAGGUGAAAUCCCGAGGGUCAACUUCGGUAUUGCCGCUGAUACUGUUGGGCUAGAGAGUGGUUGCGGUAGGCGGAAUGUAUGGUGUAGCGGUGAAAUGCUUAGAGAUCAUGCAGAACACCGAUUGCGAAGGCAGCUUACCAGGCUACGUCUGACGUUGAGGCACGAAAGCGUGGGGAGCAAACAGGAUUAGAUACCCUGGUAGUC
Molecule: ribosomal RNA, 459 nt
Filed under: uncultured bacterium
Lineage: Bacteria
Description: partial 16S ribosomal RNA
Rfam family: Bacterial small subunit ribosomal RNA
Source: RNAcentral